Molecule: ribosomal RNA, 441 nt
Filed under: uncultured bacterium
Lineage: Bacteria
Description: partial 16S ribosomal RNA
Rfam family: Bacterial small subunit ribosomal RNA
Source: RNAcentral
CCUACGGGUGGCAGCAGUGGGGAAUAUUGCACAAUGGGCGAAAGCCUGAUGCAGCAACGCCGCGUGAAGGAAUACGGUUUUCGGAUUGUAAACUUCUGUUCUUAGGGACGAAUAAUGACGGUAACUAAGGAGCAAGCCACGGCUAACUACGUGCCAGCAGCCGCGGUAAUACGUAGGUGGCAAGCGUUGUCCGGAAUAACUGGGUGUAAAGGGAGCGUAGGCGGGAAGUCAAGUCAGCUGUGAAAAGUACGGGCUUAACGUGUAGACUGCAGUUGAAACUGGCUUUCUUGAGUGAAGUAGAGGUGUGCGGAAUUGCGAGUGUAGCGGUGAAAUGUGUAGAUAUGCGGAGGAACACCGGUGGCGAAGGCGGCCAACUGGGCUUUAACUGACGCUGAGGCUCGAAAGUGGGGGGAGCAAACAGGAUUAGAUACCCUUGUAGUC